RNAcentral lists this long non-coding RNA (323 nucleotides) under Hordeum vulgare. RNAcentral describes it as "long non-coding RNA (HVUL_LNC005453)". The record is from RNAcentral. Lineage: Eukaryota; Viridiplantae; Streptophyta; Magnoliopsida; Poales; Poaceae.
UAUAGUAUUAUAUUAGGUAGAGAAGAGAGGUAGAGAGGUAGAGAUAUGGGAGACCUGAUCGUGAUACAUACGUGAGACCUGGUCGUCUAGGAUUUAGCAGAGUACAUUGACUCAUCGGUCGUCUCGGAUAUGCUAGUUGGACACGAAUCGACUCAAUCCUUACAAGUAGCACUACUAGAGCCAAACUUUUGAUUCUGGCUUCUACUGCGACUUCCGAUUUCCUCUCUCGUAAUCGACGGAUACACAAUAGUAGCAAAAGGACCCGUGCGUUGCAACGGGAGAAAAACAAUUAUAAUCUUUAAUGGUGCUGAUUAUAUUAUGUC